CCUACGGGGGGCUGCAGUUGGGAAUCUUGCACAAUGGGGGAAACCCUGAUGCAGCGACGCCGCGUGGAGGAUGAAGGAUUUAGGUCUGUAAACUCCUUUUAUCGGGAAAGACUUAGGACGGUACCCGAUGAAUAAGCACCGGCUAACUACGUGCCAGCAGCCGCGGUAAGACGUAGGGUGCAAGCGUUGUCCGGAUUUACUGGGCGUAAAGAGCGCGUAGGCGGCUUGUUAAGUGUGAAGUGAAAUCUCCAGGGCUCAACCCGGAAACUGCUUCGCAUACUGGCAAGCUGGAGGGAUGCAGAGGUAAGUGGAAUUCCUGGUGUAGCGGUGAAAUGCGUUGAUAUCAGGAGGAACACCCAUGGCGAAGGCAGCUUACUGGGCAUCUCCUGACGCUGAGGCGCGAAAGCGUGGGUAGCAAACAGGAUUAGAUACCCGUGUAGUC
This 442-nucleotide ribosomal RNA is filed under the name uncultured bacterium. RNAcentral's name for it is "partial 16S ribosomal RNA". It matches the Rfam family "Bacterial small subunit ribosomal RNA", at positions 338 to 795 of the family's 1533-position model. The record is from RNAcentral.